RNAcentral lists this ribosomal RNA (466 nucleotides) under Vreelandella stevensii. Its description in RNAcentral is "partial 16S ribosomal RNA". It matches the Rfam family "Bacterial small subunit ribosomal RNA", at positions 338 to 795 of the family's 1533-position model. Lineage: Bacteria; Pseudomonadati; Pseudomonadota; Gammaproteobacteria; Oceanospirillales; Halomonadaceae. The record is from RNAcentral.
CCUACGGGAGGCUGCAGUGGGGAAUAUUGGACAAUGGGCGAAAGCCUGAUCCAGCCAUGCCGCGUGUGUGAAGAAGGCCUUCGGGUUGUAAAGCACUUUCAGUGGGGAAGAAAGCCUUGGGGCUAAUACCCUCGAGGAAGGACAUCACCCACAGAAGAAGCACCGGCUGAACUCCGUGCCAGCAGCCGCGGUAAUACGGAGGGUGCGAGCGUUAAUCGGAAUUACUGGGCGUAAAGCGCGCGUAGGCGGUCUGAUAAGCCGGUUGUGAAAGCCCCGGGCUCAACCUGGGAACGGCAUCCGGAACUGUCAGGCUAGAGUGCAGGAGAGGAAGGUAGAAUUCCCGGUGUAGCGGUGAAAUGCGUAGAGAUCGGGAGGAAUACCAGUGGCGAAGGCGGCCUUCUGGACUGACACUGACGCUGAGGUGCGAAAGCGUGGGUAGCAAACAGGAUUAGAUACCCCGGUAGUC